UACAUGGGGUGCAACCGUUGCUCGGAAUUAUUGGGCGGAAAGCGCGCGUAGGCGGUUACUCAAGUCGGAUGUGAAAGCCCUCGGCUUAACUGAGGAAGUGCACCCGAAACUGAGUAGCUAGAGUACUAAAGAGGGUCGCGGAAUUCCCGGUGUAGAGGUGAAAUUCGUAGAUAUCGGGAGGAACACCGGUGGCGAAGGCGGCGACCUGGGUAGAUACUGACGCUGAGGCGCGAAAGCGUGGGGAGCAAACAGG
This 253-nucleotide ribosomal RNA is filed under the name uncultured bacterium. RNAcentral's name for it is "partial 16S ribosomal RNA". It matches the Rfam family "Bacterial small subunit ribosomal RNA", at positions 524 to 776 of the family's 1533-position model. The record is from RNAcentral.